AUGGAGCCGCGGGUUGGGAACAAGUUUCGGCUCGGCCGCAAGAUCGGCAGCGGCUCCUUCGGGGAGAUCUAUCUCGGGACAAAUAUCCAGACCAACGAGGAGGUGGCGAUUAAGCUGGAAAAUGUGAAGACAAAACAUCCUCAGCUGCUCUACGAAUCAAAGAUUUACAGGAUUUUGCAAGGAGGAACUGGAAUCCCAAAUGUCAGGUGGUUUGGUGUAGAAGGAGACUACAAUGUCUUAGUCAUGGAUUUGCUGGGGCCAAGUCUGGAGGAUCUAUUUAAUUUUUGCAGCAGAAAAUUAUCUCUCAAGACUGUACUUAUGCUUGCCGAUCAGAUGAUAAAUCGAGUGGAAUUCGUCCAUUCCAAGUCAUUUCUGCAUCGAGACAUUAAGCCAGAUAAUUUUCUCAUGGGUCUUGGUAGGCGGGCUAAUCAGGUCUAUGUUAUAGAUUUUGGUCUUGCCAAAAAGUACAGGGAUACCUCAACUCAUCAACACAUCCCAUACAGAGAGAACAAAAACUUGACUGGGACAGCAAGAUAUGCAAGUGUGAACACUCAUCUUGGCAUUGAACAAAGUCGAAGAGAUGACUUGGAAUCUCUUGGAUAUGUUCUUAUGUACUUCCUACGGGGAAGCCUUCCUUGGCAAGGUCUGAAAGCAGGAACGAAGAAGCAGAAGUAUGAGAAAAUCAGUGAGAAAAAAGUUGCAACAUCAAUUGAGGCUCUGUGUCGUGGGUAUCCUACUGAGUUCACAUCAUAUUUCCAUUAUUGCCGCUCGCUUCGGUUUGAUGACAAGCCUGAUUAUUCCUACCUUAAGCGACUGUUCCGUGACCUCUUUAUCCGUGAAGGUUUUCAGUUUGACUAUGUAUUUGACUGGACAAUACUGAAGUACCAGCAAUCUCAAAUUGCUAGUGCCCCGCCUCGUGUUGCGGGCCAUGGUGCAGGACCUUCUGGGUUGACACCACCUGUAUUGCAGAAUGAUAGUCAAUCUGGUGCCGUUGAAGGGAGGAUUAGUGGUUGGUCAGCAAUGGACCGACGUCGUGCCCCACCACCCAUUGCAAGCGUGGGGACUUCAAAUAAGCAGAAAGCCCCUGUAGGAAAUGAUGCUCCUAUUUCUAAAGACCCUGCGAUAUCUGGCUUGAAUUUUUUGGGGCGGUCAAGUGGAUCGUCAAGGAGAGCUGCUGUUUCAAGUAGCCGGGAUGCUGUGGCAAGCGACACUUUUGAGCCUUCACGAUCACGCACGACUGAUGCAAGCCCUGGUGCAUUCCGUAGAACCUCAGGUGCUCAGAGAAGCCCACCGGUUGAUUCUGCAGAACCACAGCGUUCCUCUUCGGCCCGGCACUCAUCUAACCCGAAGAACUACGAGUCUGCCCUCAAAGCAUUUCCUGUUGAGUUUUGGAUCACAGGAGAUGCUACGAGGAGGAUGUGA
This 1422-nucleotide ribosomal RNA is filed under the name Triticum aestivum (bread wheat). Its description in RNAcentral is "partial small subunit ribosomal RNA". The record is from RNAcentral. Lineage: Eukaryota; Viridiplantae; Streptophyta; Magnoliopsida; Poales; Poaceae.